Molecule: ribosomal RNA, 479 nt
Filed under: uncultured bacterium
Lineage: Bacteria
Description: partial 16S ribosomal RNA
Rfam family: Bacterial small subunit ribosomal RNA
Source: RNAcentral
GACGAACGCUGGCGGCGUGCUUAACACAUGCAAGUCGAACGGUAAGGCCCUUCGGGGUACACGAGUGGCGAACGGGUGAGUAACACGUGGGUGAUCUGCCCUGCACUUCGGGAUAAGCCUGGGGAACUGGGUCUAAUACCGGAUAGGACCACUGCCUGCAUGGGUGGUGGUGGAAAGCUUUUGCGGUGUGGGAUGGCGCCCGCGGCCUAUCAGCUUGUUGGUGGGGUGAUGGCCUACCAAGGCGACGACGGGUAGCCGGCCUGAGAGGGCGACCGGCCACACUGGGACUGGGAUACGGCCCAGACUCCUACGGGAGGCAGCAGUGGGGAAUAUUGCACAAUGGGCGCAAGCCUGAUGCAGCGACGCCGCGUGAGGGAUGACGGCCUUCGGGUUGUAAACCUCUUUCAGCACCGACGAAGCGCAAGUGACGGUAGGUGCAGAAGAAGGACCGGCCAACUACGUGCCAGCAGCCGCCGUAA